CCGAAUGCCUCUGCUGCAACAUGCUCACUGUACAUUUUUCCAAUUUACACCCGCAAAGAGCUUGUAGGCUUUCAACCUCCGCUUGUGGGAAUACUGCGAUGGCCGAGGUGUGACCAACUCCAGCCAAAGGAAGUCACGGCCACAGUGCUGUUACAAGGUCAAUUUAUAAACCCUGGUGGAUCCCACCUGGUUCUCUCCAUGGAGGUGGCACCCCUCUAAAAAUGGCUCCUUCCGGCAUGUCUGAUUGACCGGGGACUCUGAUCAAGAGCACAAACUACAAACUAUGGUCAAAGAAAAACCGAUUCAAAGUAUUUCAGGGACAACCCGUGAGACGAACGUCCUGCCUCAUCAUAAACCUUAUCGCCUCUCUAAAAUCCAGAACAAGUGUUGAAACUGG
This is a long non-coding RNA of Hippocampus zosterae (dwarf seahorse), 397 nucleotides long. RefSeq lists it as uncharacterized. The transcript is spliced from 3 exons. The record is from RefSeq and is a predicted model, not a curated record. NCBI's taxonomy places the organism in Eukaryota, Metazoa, Chordata, Actinopteri, Syngnathiformes, Syngnathidae.